RNAcentral lists this ribosomal RNA (485 nucleotides) under Streptomyces sp. uw12. Its description in RNAcentral is "bacterial SSU rRNA". It matches the Rfam family "Bacterial small subunit ribosomal RNA", at positions 129 to 627 of the family's 1533-position model. Lineage: Bacteria; Bacillati; Actinomycetota; Actinomycetes; Kitasatosporales; Streptomycetaceae. The record is from RNAcentral.
CCCUUCACUCUGGGACAAGCCCUGGAAACGGGGUCUAAUACCGGAUAACACCUGCCCGGGCAUCUGGGUGGGUUAAAAGCUCCGGCGGUGAAGGAUGAGCCCGCGGCCUAUCAGCUUGUUGGUGAGGUAGUGGCUCACCAAGGCGACGACGGGUAGCCGGCCUGAGAGGGCGACCGGCCACACUGGGACUGAGACACGGCCCAGACUCCUACGGGAGGCAGCAGUGGGGAAUAUUGCACAAUGGGCGAAAGCCUGAUGCAGCGACGCCGCGUGAGGGAUGACGGCCUUCGGGUUGUAAACCUCUUUCAGCAGGGAAGAAGCGAAAGUGACGGUACCUGCAGAAGAAGCGCCGGCUAACUACGUGCCAGCAGCCGCGGUAAUACGUAGGGCGCAAGCGUUGUCCGGAAUUAUUGGGCGUAAAGAGCUCGUAGGCGGCUUGUCACGUCGGGUGUGAAAGCCCGGGGGCUUAACCCCGGGUCUGCAUU